This 371-nucleotide ribosomal RNA is filed under the name uncultured eukaryote. RNAcentral's name for it is "partial 18S ribosomal RNA". It matches the Rfam family "Eukaryotic small subunit ribosomal RNA", at positions 592 to 976 of the family's 1831-position model. The record is from RNAcentral.
CAAUAGCGUAUAUUAAAGUUGUUGCAGUUAAAAAGCUCGUAGUUGGAUUUCUGGUAGGAUGACUGUGCCCUCAGUAGAGUGUGCGCUGGCGUCUUGCCAUCCUUCUGUUAACCUUUGGGAGCUUCACCGCUCCCUUUGGGGCUCAGAUAUUUUACCUUGAGAAAAUUAGAGUGUUUCAGGCAGGCUAGCGCCGGAAUACAUUAGCAUGGAAUAAUGGAAUAGGACUUUUGCCUCUUCUGUUGGUCAUGGGGUUCGAGUAAUGAUUAAUAGGGAUAGUUGGGGGCAUUAGUACUUCACUGUCAGAGGUGAGAUUCUCGGAUUUGUGAAAGACUAACUUAUGCGAAAGCAUUUGCCAAGGAUGUUUUCAUUAA